AGAAGAUUAACCCCUCCAGCCCCAGUCCAGCUCGGGGCCCAGCCCCGCUGGCCCGCGUGUGCCAGGCAGCGUCCCUGCGGAGACUCGGGAAGGGAAGGUGUCCUGCUGGGUCAGUGUCUCCAAGGGUCCCUGCAUGUCUUUGGGGUGCUGCAGCCAGUCUCAGGGCAGCGGCCUCAGCAGAGGGCCCUGCAUGGGCACAUGGCCAGCCCCUCCCCAGCACACAGGCUUCCCUGGAAGGCCUCUGGGUCAAGAGAUCCCUGAGUCAGGCUCCUGGCCUACCCAAGAACCCCUGGACACAACCCCAGUCCUGCCCUCCACAGGGCACCUGGCCUGCCCACUCAGCCCACUCUGGGCUCCCUGCCAGGACUCUGGGGACUUUGGUGAGCAGGAUAGGUGCCCAGCUCUGUGGCGCCACGCUGAGGCUUCUACCCAGGUACCCACCUCGGCCAGCAGAGUGGCCAUGGCCACCUCCUGCUGACUGUCUAUUGCCCUGGCAGGCCACGUGAACCCCAAGCUCCCCAACUCUGCAGAGAAGACAAGAUUGAAGGGGUCUCCAGGCCCAGGCAGUGGGACGGGGCCAGGGAGGGGUGGCCAGCCUGGUUGAGGAGCCCCUUCCUGCGUCCCGAGGGUCCUGCCCCGUGGGCCUCGCCACGUCCUGCAGCACAUGCUCCCGGCUUAGAUGUCGGCUCCUGCCUCUACCUAGAAUCCGUGUCCACCUGGGGGGUGGGCGCUGCGUGUCCACCGAGCCCUCAGGGCUGCACUGCCGGGCGAGGGCCCGGGUGGGGCUCCAUGACCAACUUCCACUAGGAACCAGUGGGGGUGGGACGGGCCAUCUUCUAGGGGUCCCCCUGCCUUCCUCAGGGGGCUCGGGUCUCCAACUGACCAAAGCCCCCAGCACGUCUGCCCUGGGCACAUGGCCUGCCACCAGCCCCAGAUAGCCUCAGCCUGGAGCCCUGUGGCCAGCAGGGGACUCCACUGGCAUCAGGCCCAGCCCCACCCUGGGGCCAUCUCUCUGAAAGAGUUGGGUGCACAACCAGGGCCCCCGCGUCUGGUUCUCACCAGAAAACAGGAGCCUCAGCUUUUAGGGAACAGAAGAGAAAUAAGUUAGGCCAGGCGCAGGCGGGGAAGCCCGCCAGCCCCACUCAUCGCUGCCUCCGAGCUGGCGGGAGGGGGCGGGCCAAGGGCUCUGCACUAACUGCCUGCAUCUGGGAGCACUUACAGAGGCCGCGGCACAGGCCCAGGGAACGGUGGGCCCCUCUGUCCCCUGAUACCCAGAGACCCUUCCAGGACAGACCAGGACGCCACCCUGUGCGCUCUGGGGAACUCCUGAGGUGGGCGUGGGCCAGGGCGGGCGUGCUGUGCACAGCAGCCGUGGCCCAGGACUGUCGCCGGGCCUGGACUCAGUGGGCACCCCUGCUGUUGAGCCUUCAGGCUGUGCCCAGACACUUCAGUGGGAGCUGCUGCGAAGGAGCCGUGUUGGCCGUGACUGCCCAGUCAGCAGGAUGGCCCUCGCAGUGAGCACGCAUGUCCACUGGGCUCUGCUGGCUGGCCUCUUGUCCGGACCAGGGGAGGUGUCCCGCACCGCGCCAACAAGGGCGCCAGCCACCCUGAGCUGCUGGUUCUGACGUGGAUGGCGGCUCGUGCUCCUUCCCUGGCUGGCCACCCGCGGCCCUGUUAGGCUGCCUCUCCUGGGAGCCCCGGCCACUGAGGUGGCUCCCUGCCAACUGGCACCCGGAGGCACCGGGGCUCCAGAAGGAAGGUGGUGCACCAGUGCCGACCAGUGCUGAGGCCGCUGUGGCCAGUGCUGCCCAGCAGCAGGAUAGGCCCCUCAUGUUGCUCUGCCCUGGUGACUCACUGGGCAGCUGGCCACCACUGCUGGGAGACAGGAGCCACCUGUCCCUGGUGCCCUCGAACGUGGCCCAAGCUGGCGGGCAGACUGCAGGGCCCCUCAUGGAGGAGCCGCCCAGGGGACGGCUUCCUGGACGGGAGGAGAACCGCAGUCCGCGCCAGGGUGGGGGAGGCAGGAGGCCUGGGCAGCGUCCCCCGCGGACCCGUGGGGGUGCUCCGCAGUGAGGCCGCCAUGGAAACCGUGUGUAGCCAUGGAAAACAGCGUCUUCCCUGAUGAAUCAUCUCCUAAGUUGGGAGGAAAAUUCACUGACCAGUGGAGGCCGGGAAAGGAAAUAAAGCACGUCCUGAGCCCCGGACGCGGGGGGCCAGGUGUCCCCACCCAGGCGGCUUCCUGGUACCACACCCACUGCAUGGGGCUCUGGGCACCCGACUACCCGUCCUUGGGCUCACGCCCAGCCCCACCACAGGCUCCGCUCUCACUCCCCGAGUCAUGUGGCGUGUCCAGAGCAGGCCCUAAUCCUCCAGCUCCCGUGGCGGGGCGGCGCUGGCAGCCCGGGUGUCCAGGGUGCUGCUGACCAUCAGCACCCAGCACAUGGCAGGAGGCUCGGCGUGCAGGGCGCGGGCAGCCCGGGGGUGUGCAGCUGUGUGCUGUCCUUGUGGACAGGCACUGUGAGGCCUCAGGACAUAGAGGAACUCUGGGCUGGGCACAGGGCCACUGCCUGCGCCUGGAGGUUCCGGGGCCUCUCUCUUUGCAAGGUCAAUGAGGCCUGGUAGGGGUUCCUGCUGCCCAAGGGGCAACACCCACCAGGGCACCCUGGCUGGAGACCGGAGCCGGGGCCAUGGGCGGGACCCCUCUCCUGACCUGGUGUCCUCUCGUCCUGCCCUGCUUACCCCCACUGCCCCUUCAGAAAGUCCCUUGGUCCUGGCCCUGCCCACCCUGCAGGGUGCCCUGUUUAGUGGCGGCCCUGAGGCAGGGACCCUCCACCUGGCCCACUCAGAGCUUCACUUCUCAGAGCACAGGGCCGGCGUUUGUAAAACGGGUUUUAGCCGACACACCCAGAGCCCCGGCCACACCCCAGGGCCCGACUGGCUACAGCCUGGUCUCCACACACCGGCUCUCCACACCUGCAGGCCCCGGAGCAGGAGGUGCAGCUGGGCACCCAGGCCGUGGGCGCUCCAGGGAGGCCCAGCUCCGCUCGCCCGGGGGCCUCCCUGCAGCCUCCUUCCACCCACUGAGGGGUCUGCACAGGGCGGGUUCCUUCCUCUCUCCUGUGCCCACUGCGGGAGCCCGCGAGCCCAGAGAGCUGGGGGGAAAGAGGAGCCCAGGCAGCCCCGACUGGUACUGUGGCCUCCGCAGGGGCCCAUGGACCUGGUUCUGGGGGUCCUCAGAGGCCAGGGGCAGAUCCCCCAGACAGCCCAGGCUGGCCUCCUCCAGGGCCCGGCCCUCUCUCCUGGAGCCUCCCCUGACCGGGCAGUCCUGCCAGUGCAGUCCUGCCAGUGCACCUGCCCCUCUCCCUGUGCUGCCCAGGACGCAGGCCCAGCCAGGUGGUGCUGGGGGUGAGAGGCAGAGAGGGACAAAGACCUCCGCCCCAGGCGGGCUCAGGACCUCAGGCCAGGACCUGCCUGGGGCCCAAGUCCCUGUCAGCAGGAGGGGAGGGUGGGCUGCCACCCCUCUGCCCUUGGACACAGGCACACUGCAGCCCACCCCUGGUGCGCUGUUGGCCAUCCUGAGGCAGUGCCUCCCCCACCGAGGCCAGGCUGCCCAGGACGGCAAGGCAGCAGGACUGGGCAGGCCUCUCUAACCUGGCCUGGCUCUGGUUUGGGAGGCAGACACGGCACCGAGACCAGCGGGCAGCCCAGGGGCCCUGGUGGGCUUGGAGGGAGGGAGAUGGAGGCAGAGGGACAGAGGGAGACAGAGGGACAGGACAGGAGGGUGGGAGCAGGGGCAGAACGCUGGGGGACGGCACUGGGGCACGGGUCUUCCACAGCCGCCUGUGCUCCCUUGGCAGGGCGCGUGUGGCUGCUGCCAUCACCAGGGCCACUCCAAGGGGAGCGCGUGGACGUCGAGCAGUGGCCCCGCUCUGGGCGCUAUGGGGCUGUCUGCUCCGGGGGCCUGCGGCCUGCACCGUCUGGAGACAGCCUCUGGAGGGGCCCUGGCGCAGCUGGAGGGUGGGAGGCGCCCCUGGGCCUGCCCUCCCCAGAGGCCUCCCGGGAUGACUGUGGCAGCCUGGGUGGGCAGGGGUGGGCAUGUGCACUGAGGGGUGCUGGCCGGAGGAGCCCUGGUGCCACCAGGUCCUCUGGCUGCCAGCCCCCACUGCAGGCCUGUGCCAGGGUGUGUCCUGCAGCAGACGUGGAAAGGCCCCUGGGGCAGGCAGACUCAGGGUGGGACCAGGGGGCCCCUUGUCCCCCCACGGAAGGUGACAGGCUCCACCUGCCCCUCCUUUCAGACUGGGCCAGCCUCGCUGCCCGGCUCCCAGGACAGGUCACCUCUGCACAGGGUGCUCCAGCCUCAGUGGACCAGCAGGUGUCCAGAGCCCUGGGGGGACUCCACUGUCCUGGGGUCCACAUGCUGUGGCCCCCGUUCCUCCCCUGCUCGACGCCCAGCCUGGGAGCCCUGGGUGCCCUAAGUGUGAAGCGACCGAGGCUGCUGCUCAGCACCCUGCGGGCAGCUCCAAGGCCUCGGCCAUGUUCAGAAGCCAGGCCCUUCAGCGGUCGCUGUGUGGAAACUUCCGUCCUGUCUCGUGGGUCUUGGCGUCAUAAGGCGCUGGGCUGAGGACGGCCAGCAUCAGGAGCCCCGGCACUCUGGAAUCUCCUCUGGGCCAAGCCCGAGUGCCCUCUGCCCACACAUGUGCUCCCCUAAACAGUGGGCGACCCAGGAGAAACCACGGUGGCUGGCAGACCCUGGCCCCCCACGGGCGCCCUCAGGGAAAGCCGGGGGCACAUGAGUCCCAUGGCGUCCAGGGCCUUGGGGGAGAGGGGCUGCUGCCUUCCCAGCUCUGGGAGGUCUGCGGCCGGCGGGUGGGCGGGAGGAGUGUGACUCAGCCGGCCGCCCCGCCCCCGCCCCUC
This is a non-coding RNA of Ictidomys tridecemlineatus (thirteen-lined ground squirrel), 4914 nucleotides long. Lineage: Eukaryota; Metazoa; Chordata; Mammalia; Rodentia; Sciuridae. The record is from RefSeq and is a predicted model, not a curated record.